GCGCGGGUAGCUCAGUGGUAGAGCGUUCGAUUGCAGCUCGAAGGGUCACUGGUUCAAUUUCGGUCCCGCGCU
RNAcentral lists this transfer RNA (72 nucleotides) under Phytophthora infestans (potato late blight agent). RNAcentral's name for it is "tRNA-Cys". It matches the Rfam family "tRNA". Rfam says of the family: Transfer RNA (tRNA) molecules are approximately 80 nucleotides in length. Their secondary structure includes four short double-helical elements and three loops (D, anti-codon, and T loops). The record is from RNAcentral. Lineage: Eukaryota; Oomycota; Peronosporomycetes; Peronosporales; Peronosporaceae.